Non-coding RNA from Aegilops tauschii subsp. strangulata, 2549 nucleotides. The record is from RefSeq and is a predicted model, not a curated record. NCBI's taxonomy places the organism in Eukaryota, Viridiplantae, Streptophyta, Magnoliopsida, Poales, Poaceae.
UCUAAGCCCAGCUCCACCGUUAGCUCCCGAAUCUCGGUGUGGCCGCGGCGCCGAGGGGAGGCGAGAAAUGUCGUCCUCCGUCUCCGCCGCCGUUCUCCGCCGCCUCGGCGACCGGCUCGGCCUCCGCCGACUCGCGACGCUCCCCGACUACGCGGCCGGCGCCGAGGAGCUGCCGCAGCACCCCACCUCCAAGGACGCCUACUUCGCGGCGGUCAACCACCUCUCCACCAUCGUACGGCGCGACUUCUACCUGGAGCGCACCCUGAACCGCCUCCGCCUGCCGUCCCCCUUCCCGCCGGACCUCGCGCUCCGCGUCAUCCGCGCCGCUGCCCCCUCCGAGCCCCUCCACGCCGCCCGCUUCCUAGCGUGGCUCCGGGCGAAGCCCAAUUUCUCCCCCUCCGCCGAUCACUUCGACGCGCUGCUCCUCCCGCUCGCCCGCGCGCGCCUCUUCACCCACCUCUGGACCCAGGCCUCCGACAUGCGCGCGCUCGGCCUCCCCCUCUCUCCGGCAACCUUCUCGGCGGUUAUCUCGUCCUACGGCCACUCCCGCCUCGCCGAGCAGGCCGUCGAGGUCUUCAAUCGCCUUCCCCACUUCGGGUGCCCGCAGACCACCGAGGUCUACAACGCCCUUCUGGACGCGCUCUGCGCCAACGGCAACUUCGCCGGCGCCUACAAGCUGCUACGCCGCAUGGCGCGCAAGGGCGUGGCCCCCGACCGCGCCACGUUCAGCACGCUCGUCGACGCCUGGUGCGCGUCGGGGAAGCUCCGGGAGGCGCAGGCGUUCCUCGACGACAUGUCGUCCCGCGGGUUCCGGCCGCCGGUGCGCGGUCGGGACCUCCUCGUCGACGGGCUCGUCCGAGCUGGGCGCCUGGAGGAAGCCAAGGCAUUCGCCCUCCGCAUCACCAAGGAGGGCGUCCUCCCCGACGUGGCCACAUUCAACUCGCUCGCCCAGGCGCUUUGCGAUGCAGGUGAUGUGGAAUUCGCCGUGGGUCUUCUUGCCGAUGCUUCCAGUCGUGGCAUGUGCCCAGAUAUCUCAACUUACAAAGUGAUGCUACCGGCGGUGGCCAAGGCUGGCCGAAUUGAGGAGGCAUUCAGAUUGUUCUAUGCAGCUAUUGAGGAUGGCCACCGGCCCUUCCCAAGUCUAUAUGCGGCGAUCGUCAAGGCGCUCUGCAAGGCAGGUCGUUUCGCUGAUGCUUUCGCCUUUUUUGGUGAUAUGAAGUCCAAGGGGCACCCACCUAAUCGGCCUGUGUAUGUGAUGCUUGUCAAAAUGUGUGUGAGGGGUGGUCGGUUCUUGGAUGCUGCAAACUACCUUCUUGAGAUGAAUGAGGCUGGGUUCGCGCCACGGGCGCCAACCUUUAACGUUGUAGUUGAUGGGCUGCGGCAUCUUGGGAAACAUGACCUAGCCCGGAGGAUGGAGCAGCUUGAGAUGUCACUAAAAGGAAACUGAAUGGAUCCGGAAGUAGAUGCAUUCUGGUGGGGCGCUGCGAAUUGCUUGGUAAUGUUUCUGAAUUUCCAGGCAGGGCUCCUAUCUUCUAAUUGUAUUUCAUGACAUAGGCCGCCAGUGCUAUGCUGUUGGACUGUGACUGAUAUGCUUGGCAAGUGAUUUACUUGUUUUCGGUAGGAAGAAUCAAUGAAUAAGGCCAUCAGAUAGCCUCAACUAAUGUGCUCAAAAUUGUGCAGUGUUGGUUCACAAGAAAAGUAGUGGUGGAGUAGGCACUAAGUUCAGAGGAAGGUAAGUUUUGUGGUUGCAUGGAUAAGAUUAUUGAAAUAUCCAUGAUCCAUUGGUGUUUGACCAGGUGUUUUCACUGUUCAAUUUAGAACCAACUCUGCGCUCCAUGAUAGUUCAGUAUAAAGAUUGGACCCAUGCUACCUUGUAUGAUCUAAAAGUGUAUUGUUGAGAUGUCACUAGAAGGAAACUGAAUGAACCGGGAAUUAGAUGCCGUCUAGUGGGGUGCUGUGAAUUGCAUGGUAAAGGUUCUGAAUUUUCAGUGUUUCAACUUUACUUUGCCCUUCGUGAGCAUCAGAUACUCGAUUGGCAUGCAGAAUUGGACUAGCCUUACAGUGUCCUAAUACCUUCUACAAGGAACCAUCCGGGUGCACCCAACGAGAUCAAAGCUGAAUGAACCUAUGUUGUUACAUCAUGUGGCCAGAAUAGCCGGGCAUGCGGUGGCUCGACGUUCACAAGCUGAUUACAGGCUAUUGUAUCUCCUGAACAUACUACUGCAGAACUCAAGAAUUUCCCAGUGAUUUGGGGAAGGAAUUUGCCUCCCGUUCGAUGGCCUGCCUUCUGUCGACAAACUACUGUCACGGCGGUGUUAGUAAGCGUACGGGCACGACUGCAAAAGGGGGGAAUGCAGAAAUGUUUUGAAAUCAGGAGGUCAGCUAUGAUCCUAUGACUGAUCACACCGCUGAGGAACGCAAAUUCGAGAAGCUGAGGGAGGGGGUUGAUGAUGAGAUACAGCAUUGUCUUGCAUUUCAUGGACUCGGAAUUGAUUAUUUUUUUCUUGUGAAAAAACAUUGCUUAAUGUGAAUGUUGCAAUGAACUGAUA